This is a long non-coding RNA of Acinonyx jubatus (cheetah), 2239 nucleotides long. RefSeq lists it as uncharacterized. Lineage: Eukaryota; Metazoa; Chordata; Mammalia; Carnivora; Felidae. The record is from RefSeq and is a predicted model, not a curated record. The transcript has 2 exons.
AUAGGUUCCCGAUGGCCAAAGCUAAAAUAUAUUUUUAAAUGUUUAUUUCUGAGAGAGAGAGAGGGCGUGAGAGCGCACACAAGAAGAGGAAGAGACAGAGGAUCUGAAGUGGGCUCUGCUCUGACAGCAGUGAGUGUGAUGUGGAGCUCAAACCCACGAGCUGUGAUACCGUGACCUAAGCCAAAGUUGGAUGCUCAACCAACUGAGCCACCCAGGCGCCCCAAGAUUGUAAGAUUUAAUUUUUAUUUUAUUUAAAAAAAUUUUUAAUGUUUUACUUAUUUUUUUUUCUUUUGAGAAAGAGAGCAAGGAGGGGCAGGCAGAGAGGGAGAGAAUCUUAAGCAGGCCAACCCCCAGUGCACAGUCAACGAGCCUGAUGUGGGGUUUCUGUCUCAAUGACCAUGAGAUCAUGACCUGAGCCGAAAUCAAGUUUACGUUUAACCAACUGAGACACCUAGGCAGUUCUAAAUAGUUGUUUUAAGAACACUUUUAGAUUUAUUGAAAAAUCAAGAAUAUAUUCUAGAAUUCCCAUUUAUCUAUUAUUAAUCUUAUGUUACCAUAUUACAAUUUAUAAAUCAAUACAUUAUUAUCUAAAAUCUACACUUUAUUUAUUAGCUUUUACCCAGCAUCUUUCUGUUCUGAAAUCCCUUUAGAAUACCAAUUAGAUUUAAUUUUCGUGUCUCCUUAGGCUUCUCUUAGCUGUGGCAGUUUCUCAGACCUAACUUUCCUUAUUGUUGAUGACCUGGGCAAUUUUGAGGAGUACUGGUCAGGAGGUCAGAAAUGCAAACUGUGACAAAAAGGAUCUAACUGUGCUGCAAAUGCAUGAAUAACAUCACAGAAGAGAGUAAAAGGAAAAAGUCCUGAUCCAGGUAACUCUGGAAAUGCAUGGUAUAUGUAAAGCUAAAAAGUGUUGCACAUAAGACCUACACUCUAGUUGAAAAACUUAUCUCCCAUGGGAAUAUAGGUUAACAAUUCUGAUACUAUUGUAUGUACAUACUAGAACCAAAAAAUUAAGUAAAUGGGGCGCAUGGGUGGCUCAGUCAGUUAAGCGUCCUACUCUUGAUCUCAGCUCAGGUCUUGAUCUCAGGGUUGUAAGUUCAAGCCCUGCAUUGGGCUCCAUGCUGGGCAUAAAGCCUACUUAAAAAAAAAAAAAAAAAAAAAAAUUUAAUAAGGACAAAUGGAGAGAGCCAGCUUUGUCCCUGUUGCAGUGAGCAUUUACAGAUAAGCAAGGGGAGGAGGCUAGAAUGAUCCAUGUGGUAAUAUAACAGAUUAGAGGUAAAGCCAAAUUAUAAAACCAGGUUUAGCUUGGUAUAGAUACAAAUGACUACAUACAGAUUUAUGGAUGUGUGUAUAGAUAUGCACAUACAUUUUCUUGCUUGAUCAGCUAUGACAGCUCAAUAAAAGCAACAAGACCUCUCAGUAGCAAUGAGCACAUUUAGUACCCAAAUUUUCGUUUCCAACACCAUUCUCCAAUAAAGGGAACUGGGGUUCCUUAGAGAGACAGCUGAUUCUGGGACUAGGGCAGGAAAUAUACAAGAUGAGUCUGGAGUAUUCUGAAGUGCCAGAGAGUAAGGAAGUGCUCAAAACCCAAACACACCAAAAAUAAACCGUCUUGAUGAUGCACAGGAACCAACAGAAAGGUUCCCAAUGGCCAAAGCUAGAACAAUUUAAGCAACAAAGUAGUAUUAAAUUAUAACCCCAAGUAUAAAAACAAAUAUUUAGGAGUCCAUACUGACAUAAAUAAGUGACUGAAUAAGUCAACAAAAGAGAAAAAAAUCUCUCAUGCAGAAUUCCAAAUAAUUUAUGUAGAUACUCUGUUCUCUUUAAGUUUGAGCUGUGCAGUGACUUCUUUCUAAAGAAUAAAAUAUGGAAAGUAUGGAGAGGAGAAUACAGUGAAGAUACCUGACAAAUACUACUUCAACCAGAUGAUGAGUCAACAUCAACUAUAAUAAAUCAUAUUAAUAGUAUAGUAUAUACAUGAUAAAAAUGGCACUUCACCUCUAUGGUUUUCCUCCCAUCCACAACUCUAGUCUAAUCAUGAGGAAAACAGGAGACAAAUCACAAUAGAGAAGUAUCUAUAACACCAGACCAGUAUCCCCCAAAACUGCCCAAGUCAUCAAGACAAGUCUGAGACACUGCCACAGUCAAGAGAAGUUUAAGGAGACACGAAAGCUAAAUGUAAUUGGUAUCCUAGAUGGAAUUCUAGAACAGAAGAACAGUAGGUAAAAAGCUAAAGAACUCU